CAGUCGAACGGAGUUAAGAAAAGCUUGCUUUUCUUGACUUAGUGGCGAACGGGUGAGUAACGCGUGAGUAACCUGCCCUGGAGUGGGGGACAACAGUUGGAAACGACUGCUAAUACCGCAUAAGCCCACGAUCCGGCAUCGGAUUGAGGGAAAAGGAUUUAUUCGCUUCAGGAUGGACUCGCGUCCAAUUAGCUAGUUGGUGAGGUAACGGCCCACCAAGGCGACGAUUGGUAGCCGGACUGAGAGGUUGAACGGCCACAUUGGGACUGAGACACGGCCCAGACUCCUACGGGAGGCAGCAGUGGGGGAUAUUGCACAAUGGGGGAAACCCUGAUGCAGCGACGCCGCGUGGAGGAAGAAGGUUUUCGGAUUGUAAACUCCUGUCGUUAGGGACGAUAAUGACGGUACCUAACAAGAAAGCACCGGCUAACUACGUGCCAGCAGCCGCGGUAAAACGUAGGGUGCAAGCGUUGUCCGGAAUUACUGGGUGUAAAGGGAGCGCAGGCGGACCGGCAAGUUGGAAGUGAAAACUAUGGGCUCAACCCAUAAAUUGCUUUCAAAACUGCUGGCCUUGAGUAGUGCAGAGGUAGGUGGAAUUCCCGGUGUAGCGGUGGAAUGCGUAGAUAUCGGGAGGAACACCAGUGGCGAAGGCGACCUACUGGGCACCAACUGACGCUGAGGCUCGAAAGCAUGGGUAGCAAACAGGAUUAGAUACCCUGGUAGUCCAUGCCGUANACGAUGAUUACUA
This 748-nucleotide ribosomal RNA is filed under the name uncultured bacterium. RNAcentral's name for it is "bacterial SSU rRNA". It matches the Rfam family "Bacterial small subunit ribosomal RNA", at positions 59 to 818 of the family's 1533-position model. The record is from RNAcentral.